RNAcentral lists this transfer RNA (71 nucleotides) under Loxodonta africana (African savanna elephant). It matches the Rfam family "tRNA". Rfam says of the family: Transfer RNA (tRNA) molecules are approximately 80 nucleotides in length. Their secondary structure includes four short double-helical elements and three loops (D, anti-codon, and T loops). Further hydrogen bonds mediate the characteristic L-shaped molecular structure. tRNAs have two regions of fundamental functional importance: the anti-codon, which is responsible for specific mRNA codon recognition, and the 3' end, to which the tRNAs corresponding amino acid is attached (by aminoacyl-tRNA synthetases). tRNAs cope with the degeneracy of the genetic code in two manners: having more than one tRNA (with a specific anti-codon) for a particular amino acid; and 'wobble' base-pairing, i.e. permitting non-standard base-pairing at the 3rd anti-codon position. Lineage: Eukaryota; Metazoa; Chordata; Mammalia; Proboscidea; Elephantidae. The record is from Rfam by way of RNAcentral.
GCACUGGUGGUUCAGUGGUAAAAUUUUCUCCUUUCAUGUAGGAGACCCGGGUUCGAUUCCCAGUCAUUGCA